UAAAACUUGCAGCAGUAGAUGUUUCAGCCGUGCCUAAUUUAUUGUCCCCACCAUGUGCAAAAUCGGACUUGAAUUAUGCAACCUAAUACAGAAUACAUUGUACAAAUGUUCAUUUUGCAUAAUUUAUACUUUGACUGUAGAAACUAGUUUUUCUUGGUACAAUGGUUGGCAUCCCAUUGCAUGUUACAAAAUUUGUUUUAUUUAUUUUAGCACAAAGUGCGGACAGGAAUCUAUCUAUGUAUAAUGUUUAUAAGCAACCAUUAAGAGGGGAAUAAACUUUCACUUUGUAGUAAAAAUGUAAGCAUGAAGACAGAUUCCCGGUAUUUAAAGUACGGAUUUACUUAGGCUAUUCCAAUCCCAAACAUACUAACUAGAGUGUAUGCAUCAUUUGGCACAGUGAGACCUACUUCUGAGUAAAUAUGCAUGGGAUUUGUCCUGUAAGGAAUUACUGUCUACAGAUAUUUAAUGCAUCACGGAACCAGAACAGAAGGAGGAGCAAUUCUGACCUGACUGUCUACUUAUCACAGGCCAGACAUCAGGACAGCUGACAUGUGAAUGAGAAGGUGGUGGUUUACAUUAAUUUCCAGGAGGUCUCCUGUCCAUGCAUGGGCCAGAUCCAUAAUGGCAAAGUGGUGGCUUUAUGGGACUUCAGACCACACCAUAGCCCCCCUGCUUUUGUCAUGGGUAAGUACAGUCCCAGCAAAGGGAAUCCAAGCCUUGUAGCACUGUUUUCUUUUCUUUUUAAUAUGGGCCCAAGAUACAUUCUGUGUUUCUCAUUUUUGUGACAUAUAAAUAUUACCAGUUUUAUUUUUCUAGAAAAAGAGGUGCCAGAACUCACCGUGAACACCUCCCUUGUUCUUUUAUAAUGGCAAUGGA
Molecule: long non-coding RNA, 876 nt
Organism: Podarcis raffonei (Aeolian wall lizard)
Lineage: Eukaryota; Metazoa; Chordata; Lepidosauria; Squamata; Lacertidae
Exons: 3
Source: RefSeq, a predicted model, not a curated record